RNAcentral lists this long non-coding RNA (1943 nucleotides) under Homo sapiens (human). RNAcentral's name for it is "HSALNT0144375". The record is from RNAcentral. Lineage: Eukaryota; Metazoa; Chordata; Mammalia; Primates; Hominidae.
CCAGGGAUCAUCCCUAUUUACUAAGUUCUGGCCAGGGAGAAAAGCUCAUGAAGCACAAACAAUUCUCCCCCUUUGGAGGGCAAGGAACACAGUUGUAUUAGAGGCUGUGAAUUGAACAGAUGCCCAGAAAGGUUCUACUGUUCACAUAGUAUCUCUACUGAACAUAUAGUCUCUCUAGUUUGCUGAAGAGGAAAUUGAAACCCAGAAAAUCAAAGCCCAUCAAGUUAUCAAACCGUUUUGCAAGUGGGAAAACUGAGUGGCCAGAGAAGCCAAGUAUCUUUGUGUGUGUGCCAAGAAUCUUCGAUAACACCACACAGCAAGGAACUGGCAGAGCUGAAACUUUCAACUAACCUUAGAGUCCUUCUCCCUCUCAACAUGUCUGAAACUACAGGAAGAAUCUUUCUAAAAGCAGCCCCCUAAAAUCACCAUCUCUAGGAAUGGUUAUAAAAAUAUUUUGAUGUGGAGAAAAAGGAUACAAUCUAAACAUUUGCCAUAGUGAAACAGCAGAACAUAUUUUCUACAUCGUAUAUCAGUCAACUUUCAGUAGGUUAUGCUACAAAACAAAUUAUCACAGCAAUUCUAGUAGUUGAAAUCAACAGAGAUGUUGCUCCCAUUCCCAUUCACAUGAGCAGAAUGCAGCUCUUUUCACAGCCUUUUCAUUCCAGGAUCCAGGCUGAAGGAUCACCUUCCAUCUGUGACAUGCCAGGAUAUAGCCAAAAUCAGACAGCAAGCAUAGAACCAUGGGGUGGCUCUUAAGGAUUCUGCUUGGACAUUGCCUGCAUAACUUCCACUCCCAUUCCAUCAGCAAAAAUAAGUCUUACGGAAAUAUCUGAUGUCAGUAGGGGGUGAAGUCAUCUCCUUUCAAAGGAAAGGCCUCCCAGAGGGGCCCUGUAGAUAUGGACCUAUUAGAGAGUGACAGCAAAUAUUUCAGACAACUCAAACAAUGUUUUACAUAUACAUACUAAGUAAUAGUAUGCAGGCUUUUGAAAAUGAAACAUUAAGUCUAUAGUUAAUGACCUGAAAAAAUAUUCAUGAUGAAUAUUGCUCUACGAUAAUUAUCCAUCUCCACCCACUAAUAUGUAAAUUCCAUGAGGCCAGACCUUUGGUCUGUUUUGCUCACAAAUGUAUCUUAACCACAUGCUGAAAAAAGCAUAGAUCAUCAUAAAAAGUUAUUAAAAUAUUGAAUAAAGGAAUUUUCCUCUAAGUACAGUUUUAUAGUCAUAUCGAUUUUGUGCAAUAUUUGAGCAAUCUUUUGGUCUUGAGUGUUUUCUUAUUUUUGACCCAGUAGAUCUUUAGAAAUUAUAUUAAAUGUUUAAAUGCACAAUUAUUUUUAUGUAUGGCUUAAUUACAUUGAAAUACUUAAAAUGAUGUGCUUGCUAAAGAGUUUUUAAAUUUGAGGAGUAUUUUCUUUAUAGUCUAAUGUACCACGAAUAUUCAUAAAUAUUCUUGGUAUAUUGAAGAUAAUGUGUAUUCUCUAAUUUUUGGAUGCAAGAUAUCUUUGUAUGUUAGUCAUUUUAUAAAUUGUACUGUUUAAUAAAAUUUUCUAUAGUCUCACCUUUUUUCUCAUUAAAUUAUUUAUUAAGAAAGUGAUAUUAAAAUAUCUCACUAUUAAUCAGGACUUAGACAUGUAUUUUUGUAACUAUCGAUUUGGUUUUAUAUAUUUUCAGGUUAUAUUAUCAAGUUUAUACAAGUUUAAAAUUGUUAUAAUUGCCUGCUAAGUUGAACCUUUUAUUGCUGUAAAAGAAUAUUUCUGUAUAAGUAAUACUUCGUUUGAAGUCUAUUUGUCAGAUACCUCUACAGCAACAAUAGCCUUACAUUGUCUCUUGUUUGCCCUUUAUAGCUUUUGUCCACCUCUCUCUUUUUGACUUCAUGUGUCAGCAUCUUUUAGAUCAGCUUCUGUUAAAUAAUGUAUUAUUAGAUUAGCUUGUCUAUCCUAUCUGGAA